UUUAUAUGCUCAUCUUAACACAAAUCGAUAAACAAAAACAAAAAGAUAUUUCUAAUUUCACACAUAAUUGAGAAAAGAUAUAUAAUAUUCUUGUGCCACAAGAAACCCCUCAAUCUUUUUUUUCCACCAAGAAACCUUCAUCACUAUCAAGAUUCUUCUAGUAAUCCACCCUGAUGCUAUAGUACCGCUUGUUUAUGCAAUCAUCUAUAAUGCAGCACUCCUAGCUGAAGAUCCAUAUGGGUUUGUGUUCUAAUCUUCAACAAUAAUAUAUCAUUGUUCUUAGAAAUCAUGAUUAUUCAAAUAUCUAUUAGCCAUUGAAGUUGUGAAAUUUGCCCUUUCCGCAGCCGCAGCAACAUAAAUCCUCAUCCGCAACAUCAACUGCAUCUCAUCAUGGUCAUUGACAUACCCAUUGGAAUCAUAAUUUUCAUAGAAAGGUUGGUUUAUGAAAUUGUUGUUAGGCCAAAACCCAGUAGUACUGUUUCUAAAAGGGUUACUCAAGCUGAGUCUACCCAUUAUAGAUUCAAGGUCAUCAACUCCAUGAAAUGUGUUUCUAGAAGAAUCUUGAUAGUGAUUAUGAUCAGCACAGGUAGAGGAAUCGCUGCUUGAUGAGUUCGGG
This 616-nucleotide long non-coding RNA is filed under the name Lupinus mutabilis. RNAcentral's name for it is "partial ncRNA". Lineage: Eukaryota; Viridiplantae; Streptophyta; Magnoliopsida; Fabales; Fabaceae. The record is from RNAcentral.